This 253-nucleotide ribosomal RNA is filed under the name uncultured bacterium. Its description in RNAcentral is "partial 16S ribosomal RNA". It matches the Rfam family "Bacterial small subunit ribosomal RNA", at positions 524 to 776 of the family's 1533-position model. The record is from RNAcentral.
UACAGAGGUCCCAAGCGUUGUUCGGAUUCACUGGGCGUAAAGGGUGCGUAGGUGGUGAGGUAAGUUUGAUGUGAAAUCUCUGGGCUUAACCCAGAAAUGGCAUUGAAUACUAUCUCGCUAGAGAGUCGGAGGGGGGACUGGAAUACUUGGUGUAGCAGUGAAAUGCGUAGAUAUCAAGUGGAACACCAGUGGCGAAGGCGAGUCCCUGGACGACUUCUGACACUGAGGCACGAAAGCUAGGGGAGCAAACAGG